GUAGUCUGCAACCCGACUACAUGAAGACUGGAAAUCGCUAGUAAUCGCGAAUCAGAAUGUCGCGGUGAAUACGUUCCCGGGUCUUGUACACACCCGCCCGUCACACCAUGGGAGUCGGAAAUGCCCGAAGUCAGUGACCCCAACCGCAAGGAGGGAGCUGCCGAAGGUGGAGCCGGUAACUGGGGGUGAAGUCGUAACAAGGUAAC
This 206-nucleotide ribosomal RNA is filed under the name uncultured bacterium. RNAcentral describes it as "partial 16S ribosomal RNA". It matches the Rfam family "Bacterial small subunit ribosomal RNA", at positions 1300 to 1500 of the family's 1533-position model. The record is from RNAcentral.